UGGGGAGUACGGUCGCAAGAUUAAAACUCAAAGGAAUUGACGGGGACCCGCACAAGCGGUGGAUGAUGUGGAUUAAUUCGAUGCAACGCGAAAAACCUUACCUACCCUUGACAUGUACGGAAUCCUGAAGAGAUUUGGGAGUGCUCGAAAGAGAACCGUAACACAGGUGCUGCAUGGCUGUCGUCAGCUCGUGUCGUGAGAUGUUGGGUUAAGUCCCGCAACGAGCGCAACCCUUGUCAUUAGUUGCUACGAAAGGGCACUCUAAUGAGACUGCCGGUGACAAACCGGAGGAAGGUGGGGAUGACGUCAAGUCCUCAUGGCCCUUAUGGGUAGGGCUUCACACGUCAUACAAUGGUACAUACAGAGGGCCGCCAACCCGCGAGGGGGAGCUAAUCCCAGAAAGUGUAUCGUAGUCCGGAUUGGAGUCUGCAACUCGACUCCAUGAAGUUGGAAUCGCUAGUAAUCGCGGAUCAGCAUGUCGCGGUGAAUACGUUCCCGGGUCUUGUACACACCGCCCGUCACACUAUGGGAGCGGGUUCUGCCAGAAGUAGUUAGCCUAACCGCAAGGGGGGCGAUUACCACGGCAGGGUUCGUGACUGGGGUGAAGUCGUAACAAGGUAACC
This 623-nucleotide ribosomal RNA is filed under the name uncultured Herbaspirillum sp. RNAcentral's name for it is "bacterial SSU rRNA". It matches the Rfam family "Bacterial small subunit ribosomal RNA", at positions 874 to 1501 of the family's 1533-position model. Lineage: Bacteria; Pseudomonadati; Pseudomonadota; Betaproteobacteria; Burkholderiales; Oxalobacteraceae. The record is from RNAcentral.